UGGGGAAUAUUGGACAAUGGGGGCAACCCUGAUCCAGCCAUGCCGCGUGAGUGAUGAAGGCCUUCGGGUUGUAAAGCUCUUUUGGCGGGGACGAUGAUGACGGUACCCGCAGAAUAAGCCCCGGCUAACUUCGUGCCAGCAGCCGCGGUAAGACGAAGGGGGCUAGCGUUGUUCGGAAUUACUGGGCGUAAAGCGAGUGUAGGCGGUUGCCGUAGUCAGGUGUGAAAGCCUUGAGCUCAACUCAAGAAAUGCACUUGAUACUGGGUGACUAGAGGACCGGAGAGGAUAGUGGAAUUCCCAGUGUAGUGGUGAAAUACGUAGAGAUUGGGAAGAACACCAGUGGCGAAGGCGGCUAUCUGGACGGUUACUGACGCUAAGACUCGAAAGCGUGGGGAGCAAACAGGAUUAGAUACCCUGGUAGUCCACGCUGUAAACGAUGUCGAUUUUGGAGGUUGUGCCCUUGAGGCGUGGCUUCCGGAGCUAACGCGUUAAAUCGACCGCCUGGGGAG
RNAcentral lists this ribosomal RNA (509 nucleotides) under uncultured bacterium. RNAcentral's name for it is "partial 16S ribosomal RNA". It matches the Rfam family "Bacterial small subunit ribosomal RNA", at positions 355 to 880 of the family's 1533-position model. The record is from RNAcentral.